Octopus bimaculoides (California two-spot octopus) is the source of this 1949-nucleotide long non-coding RNA. RefSeq lists it as uncharacterized. Lineage: Eukaryota; Metazoa; Mollusca; Cephalopoda; Octopoda; Octopodidae. The record is from RefSeq and is a predicted model, not a curated record.
UCUUGCAGUUGUCUUGUUGGGUAUAUAGUGUUAGUGGUACUGCUUCCUGAGGCAAAGUUGCAGCUUUUUCAAAAUAAGACAGUAUGUAAGAUUAUUUUCAAAACAAAAGCAUUUAAUUAUUAUAUAAUAAGGCAUGGCUGUAUGGUUAAGAAGCCUGCUUUGCAACUAUAUGGCUUUGUAUCCAGUCUCACUGUGUGGCACUUUAGGCAAAUGUCUUCUAUUAUAGCUCAGGGCUGACCAAUGCCUUGUGAGCGAAUUUGGUUGAUGAAAACUGUGUAGAAGCUCAUUGUGUGUGUAUAUGCGGGCGGGCUUCUUUUUUUCUUAUCCCCUCUCGUUUGAUAAUCAGUAUUGAUUUUGAUGAACCGUUACGUGGGACGUAAACAAACGAUGUUCCUUGCAACUUAGCGCUUUGGAAAAAGAAACCGAUAGAAUAAGCUGAGAUUGAUUUGUUCGACUAAAAUCCUUCAAAGGUGUACCUCCAGCAUGGCCGCAGUCCAAUGACUGAAACAAGUAACGGAUAAAAGAUAUAUAUAUAUAUAUACGUAUAAGAAGGGGUGACCACUAAAUGGACAUCCAUUAUGCUAGAAAUAGACCAAUAAACUAGAUUAGGCACCCGAAGACAGCAAUGACCAUUUUAGCAGUCUAUUUCUAGCAUAAUGGAUGUCCACUUAGAGGUCAUCCCUUCUUAUACAUAUGCAAAACAAUUUUUCUGAAUUUUCAGAUUUUUCUUUAUGCUAGACCACUGAUUUUAAAUUGGUGUUAAUUAAAUUAAUAUCCAAUUUAUCACCCUUAUUAUUUAAAUUUAUAUAUAUCCGAUAAUAAAUAUAACACACACGGUAAGUGGUCAUUAAGAUGGGUUGCUAGGGCAAAACAAUGCCCUUGGUGGCCAUCUUAGCAAACUAGGUGAAGAGAUACAUAAUAGUGUCACAUACACCACUACAAUACAUUGCUAACACUAUUACACAUAUACCAAUGCACACACAACCACACCACAUACAUACACUACUUACAGGUCAUUAUAUACAUUUCCACUACACAUAAAUACACUCACUACGAUAAACAAAACUGCACAUACACCACUACAGACACAACACGUACAUACACAAUUACACGUGCAUUGCUACACACACAAUUACAAAUACUACGCAUACUACAUAUACACCAAUAUACACACGACUGCACAAACACAUUGUGUGCGGUCAGUAUUUGUUUCAGCCAAAACUGCUAAAAUGGUUACUGCUGUCUUCGGGUGCAUAAUCUAGUUUAAUGUUGAUUUUAACACCAGUUGCUUAAAUCUCAUCGAAGUUCUACCUUCCUUGAUUGUAAAUUGAGUGGGUGUGUUCGACCGCGUUGCCCGGCUGGUUGAAAACUGGGUCAAACGGUGUCAGCCGAAAUAGUCAUCUCUUCCUGUUUACACAGCCUCUGUUUAUACGGUCUGUAACGUUCGCGAAGGUCGCUUCGUAAUAUCUUUUAGUCUCUUUCAUUUCGUUGAUAUUUACUGUCGUAUCUAAAAAUAAAUCUUCAAGAUGAUGCGAAUGCAGAAGGACCGUGUCGACCCCGAAGAAGAGAAGAAGAAGGCCAGACAACAAACAAUGCAGACAGUAGCUUUCUUCGUGAUGGUGUGUGGUUUUAUACGUGCAAUUCCCAUCAUGAUGGAACGGUUCAAUUAAGUCUGGUUGAACAAGAAGACUAAAGAAACAUUUCUAGAAGAGACAGUUUGAAGACCUUAGAACAAAAUGAACUAGAUCUGCUGUUUGGUGCAGACCACAGUUAUGUCUUCAUAUGUUCAGCACCAAUCCAAAAUAUGGAAGGUGUGCAGUUUUCUGGAAUACGGUUGUAUCAUCAUAGCUUCUGUACUCCAACGAUGGAUGGUUUGGUGCAGUGUUGUGGGUUACAGUUUUCAUUCAUUAGAAGUCAUUCCAAACAUUAAAAAUACCUGUUAAUUAUGA